Molecule: ribosomal RNA, 467 nt
Filed under: uncultured bacterium
Lineage: Bacteria
Description: partial 16S ribosomal RNA
Rfam family: Bacterial small subunit ribosomal RNA
Source: RNAcentral
GACGAACGCUGGCGGCGUGCUUAACACAUGCAAGUCGAACGGAAAGGCCCUGCUUUUGUGGGGUGCUCGAGUGGCGAACGGGUGAGUAACACGUGAGUCACCUGCCCUUGACUUUGGGAUAACUUCAGGAAACUGGGGCUAAUACCGGAUAGGAGCUCCUGCUGCAUGGUGGGGGUUGGAAAGUUUCGGCGGUUGGGGAUGGACUCGCGGCUUAUCAGCUUGUUGGUGGGGUAGUGGCUUACCAAGGCUUUGACGGGUAGCCGGCCUGAGAGGGUGACCGGCCACAUUGGGACGGAGAUGCGGCCCAGACUCCUACGGGAGGCAGCAGUGGGGAAUAUUGCACAAUGGGCGGAAGCCGGAUGCAGCAGCGCCGCGUGCGGGAUGACGGCCUUCGGGUGGUAAACCGCUUUCGCCUGUGACGAAGCGUGAGUGACGGUAAUGGGUAAAGAAGCACCGGCUAACUACGU